AGCUUUGUGAAGUGGCAGUAUUAUAGCCAAUGAGGCUUAUCUGAGGCACAAUUACUGAUAAUUGAAAAGAAUUUAAGAGUUAUAUAAC
Camelus dromedarius (Arabian camel) is the source of this 88-nucleotide small nuclear RNA. Its record names the gene U4. It matches the Rfam family "U4 spliceosomal RNA". From Rfam's summary of the family: U4 small nuclear RNA (U4 snRNA) is a component of the major U2-dependent spliceosome. The structure of U4 snRNA from yeast and human has been reported. U4 snRNA presents a k-turn RNA motif in the 5p-SL related to recognition of Snu13 protein. Lineage: Eukaryota; Metazoa; Chordata; Mammalia; Artiodactyla; Camelidae. The record is from Ensembl.